This 466-nucleotide ribosomal RNA is filed under the name uncultured bacterium. RNAcentral describes it as "partial 16S ribosomal RNA". The stretch from base 13 to 373 matches the Rfam family "Bacterial small subunit ribosomal RNA", at positions 40 to 399 of the family's 1533-position model. The record is from RNAcentral.
GACGAACGCUGGCGGCGUGCUUAACACAUGCAAGUCGAACGGAAAGCCCCUGCUUUUGUGGGGUGCUCGAGUGGCGAACGGGUGAGUAACACGUGAGUAACCUGCCCUUGACUUUGGGAUAACUUCAGGAAACUGGGGCUAAUACCGGAUAGGAGCUCCUGCUGCAUGGUGGGGGUUGGAAAGUUUCGGCGGUUGGGGAUGGACUCGCGGCUUAUCAGCUUGUUGGUGGGGUAGUGGCUUACCAAGGCUUUGACGGGUAGCCGGCCUGAGAGGGUGACCGGCCCCAUGGGGACGGGGUGCCGGCCCAGCCGCCGACGGGGGGAGGCAGGGGGGAAAAUUGCACAAGGGGGGGAAGGCGGAGGACGCAACGCCGGGGGGGGGAUGGCGGGUUUGGGGGUGGAAACCGGUUGCGCGGGGGAAGAAGCGGGGGGGAGGGGAAGGGGUAAAGAAGCACCGGCAAACUACG